Molecule: transfer RNA, 124 nt
Filed under: Anabaena sp. FACHB-83
Lineage: Bacteria; Bacillati; Cyanobacteriota; Cyanophyceae; Nostocales; Nostocaceae
Also listed under: 1 other name
Description: tRNA-OTHER
Rfam family: tRNA
About the family: Transfer RNA (tRNA) molecules are approximately 80 nucleotides in length. Their secondary structure includes four short double-helical elements and three loops (D, anti-codon, and T loops). Further hydrogen bonds mediate the characteristic L-shaped molecular structure. tRNAs have two regions of fundamental functional importance: the anti-codon, which is responsible for specific mRNA codon recognition, and the 3' end, to which the tRNAs corresponding amino acid is attached (by aminoacyl-tRNA synthetases). tRNAs cope with the degeneracy of the genetic code in two manners: having more than one tRNA (with a specific anti-codon) for a particular amino acid; and 'wobble' base-pairing, i.e. permitting non-standard base-pairing at the 3rd anti-codon position.
Source: RNAcentral
UGGCAGGUAGCUCAGUAGGUAGAGCGCCUAAACAUCCUUAUUCACCCCUUGCCUGCAAAGGCCGAAGAAUGAGGGUUAUCGCCUUCCAAGCGGGAUGUCGCAGGUUCAAAUCCUGCCCUGCCAC